CCACCCAGUAGGACCCGCAGGAACGCGGCUGCGCACUCUUCCCCCCGACCCGCCGCUGAAGCUGGAAGGCCCGGCCACGCGCCUCGGCACAUCCCGGCCCCAGCUGUUCUGCGGGGCGUCCUGGGACCUGGGCGGCGGGCUCCUGGGGGGGGGGGGGACUGAGGGACCCCUCGUGGUGGGAGAGGCUGAGGCUGAGCACAGCCUGCCCACCUGGACUCCUGCCCAAGGCGCCACCUGCGAGAGGCCUAAGGACCUUCUGGAAUCCUCCUGGAAUUCUAAAGAGAUUCGGAGACGGUUUCCUCUCCUAGAUGCCUCUCGCCUUAGGGUUGAAAGACUUCUUUAAAGGCGCUGAUUUGGAUAAGAUAAAUUGCCCAAGUGAGUGGGUUAACCGGAAUCUUCUGCUUCGCACGAAUAGUCGUGCCCCAGCCUGCCGGGUGCCAUCCUCCGCGGUCGGCCCGCCCCAGGCCGGGCAGGACCCCGCCUGGCCCGUCGGCAAAAUGCAGGCGGAAACUCGCAGAGGUUGUGCCCCGCGGUGGAGGGGACUCGGCCUUUAGCAGCAGCGGCGCCCACAUUGAACCCCGACCCUGGGCCUUGUCACUGUGAUGCCAGAGGUGUCUGCCUGGGCGGGCUUGGGUGGAGGGGGCCCCGGACAGCGGGAAAGGCUGAGCCGGACGCGGGGGGUUGAAUUAGAGAACUCUGUUUGGGGACUGGCACAGUGGCCGCCUUCUCCCCAGCUCUGUGGCCUGGGAAACGUGGCCGCCGAAGCUGCCGCGGCCCCGCGGAACGAGGCCGUGUGACAGGCGCUGGCGGACCAGACUGCUGGCUCUGACUCGGUUCGUCCACAGGCUCCUGUUGGGGAAGGAAGUGGUGGUGAAGGAACGACUUGGGUUUCCGAACCCCGGGAGCACCUCAGGCCCCACGCGUUUCCAGGCCCCAUGACCGAGGCGGCCAGGCAGUCUGCAGGGGCGGAGACGCUUCUGUGAAGAAAUCAACGGAAACGGAAUUUGUUCCUAUUGACGACAUUGCCAGCUUCAUGCCAGACCUAAAUAGACAUCGCGGCCUACCGCUCUGGCCUGGAACGGCAUAAAAAGAGAAGAGAUUUUGGGCAAAAUAUGGCAGUUCCGUUCUGGAAACAAAAUUCCAUCUUGGAAGCUUAAAGUUCAGGUUUUGAACAUGAACGUUGCAAGCUUUUCACAAUAUUUCCAGCCUUCACUGGUUAUGCAAGUGAAGUGAUGACUUUACCUUUUCGUUUGUGAAGGAAAACCCGUCACAUCGUUUAUACACUUUGGAUGAGAAAAGAGGAACUCAGAUCAUUCAUCUUCCCAUUGCCACAUUAUUGAGUGAUUAAAUUUAGGGCUUGAAUUCAAGUCUUC
Long non-coding RNA from Suricata suricatta (meerkat), 1373 nucleotides. RefSeq lists it as uncharacterized. Lineage: Eukaryota; Metazoa; Chordata; Mammalia; Carnivora; Herpestidae. The transcript is spliced from 2 exons. The record is from RefSeq and is a predicted model, not a curated record.